UCGCCUGGCUGCCUCCCAGCCCAGGCCGGAUUAAACAGCGGUAACCAGAUCCUGCUGGGGACGAGGGGAAACCGAGGCGGACGGCGUGAGUGAUGAGAGACGAGCUCGCACAUGGCGAGGAACGGUUCCCCUGUCUCCCCACAUCUGGAGGGGCCGCCCUCUCAAGCCUCAAGCUUUAGCACGUUGUUCCCCCAUGGGUGCCUGGAGCAACCACAUCCAGACUGGACAAUGCUAGGGAGACAACACCUCCUCCAGGAAGACUUCCUCGCUCUUCACACGUCUUCCCGUAGCUGGAGUGGGUGCUCUGCCAGCCUGCUCUGCCUCCCCUGAUCAUCACUUUCACUAACCCUGCCACCCGUGCAAACGAUUCCAACCAGCCGCUGGAGGAUGAGGGACCACGUGGACCAGAGCUGAGCAGUCCCAGACAAGGCUCCAGAGAAGUGAGCCAGCCCAGCCAAGAUCCGCAGAGCCUCCUGUGUCACCCACUGCUGACCACAGAUGCACGAGCGAGUCCAGCCGAGUCCAGAGAACUGACCUAUCAGCUUG
This 546-nucleotide long non-coding RNA is filed under the name Equus asinus (donkey). RNAcentral's name for it is "lncRNA (ENSEASG00005027988.1)". The record is from RNAcentral. Lineage: Eukaryota; Metazoa; Chordata; Mammalia; Perissodactyla; Equidae.